RNAcentral lists this long non-coding RNA (236 nucleotides) under Citrus sinensis (sweet orange). RNAcentral describes it as "long non-coding RNA (CSIN_LNC005578)". Lineage: Eukaryota; Viridiplantae; Streptophyta; Magnoliopsida; Sapindales; Rutaceae. The record is from RNAcentral.
AAGAUUGAAAACUAUUGUACCUUUUUAAACUUUUACUAAACAACAGAGACCGCAGUGUCAAUUUGAAGAUUUUGUUGAUAAGAAUUGACAAGUGUUGAAUUUAUAUUAUUUGUUGUGGAAAGUGCCUUGGAAUGCAGCAUCGUUGACUUGCAUAUUUGAUGUUAGAACUUAGAAGAUUUGCUGUCAGAAAUCUUAUUGAAGAAACUACUCUGCUGCCAGCAACACAAUCGAAGCCG